RNAcentral lists this ribosomal RNA (450 nucleotides) under uncultured Gallionellaceae bacterium. Its description in RNAcentral is "bacterial SSU rRNA". It matches the Rfam family "Bacterial small subunit ribosomal RNA", at positions 354 to 796 of the family's 1533-position model. The record is from RNAcentral. Lineage: Bacteria; Pseudomonadati; Pseudomonadota; Betaproteobacteria; Nitrosomonadales; Gallionellaceae.
GUGGGGAAUUUUGGACAAUGGGCGCAAGCCUGAUCCAGCCAUGCCGCGUGAGUGAAGAAGGCCUUCGGGUUGUAAAGCUCUUUCAGCCGGAAAGAAAUCGCCACUUCUAAUACGAGUGGUGGAUGACGGUACCGGAAGAAGAAGCACCGGCUAACUACGUGCCAGCAGCCGCGGUAAUACGUAGGGUGCGAGCGUUAAUCGGAAUUACUGGGCGUAAAGCGUGCGCAGGCGGUUCUGUAAGACAGAUGUGAAAUCCCCGGGCUCAACCUGGGAACUGCAUUUGUGACUGCAAGACUAGAGUGUAGCAGAGGGGGGUAGAAUUCCACGUGUAGCAGUGAAAUGCGUAGAGAUGUGGAGGAAUACCGAUGGCGAAGGCAGCCCCCUGGGUUAACACUGACGCUCAUGCACGAAAGCGUGGGGAGCAAACAGGAUUAGAUACCCCGGUAGUCC